This 501-nucleotide ribosomal RNA is filed under the name uncultured bacterium. RNAcentral describes it as "partial 16S ribosomal RNA". It matches the Rfam family "Bacterial small subunit ribosomal RNA", at positions 30 to 523 of the family's 1533-position model. The record is from RNAcentral.
AUUGAACGCUGGCGGCAGGCUUAACACAUGCAAGUCGAGCGGGGGAAGGCAGCUUGCUACUGGACCUAGCGGCGGACGGGUGAGUAAUGCUUAGGAAUCUGCCUAUUAGUGGGGGACAACAUCUCGAAAGGGACGCUAAUACCGCAUACGUCCUACGGGAGAAAGCAGGGGAUCUUCGGACCUUGCGCUAAUAGAUGAGCCUAAGUCGGAUUAGCUAGUUGGUGGGGUAAAGGCCUACCAAGGCGACGAUCUGUAGCGGGUCGGAGAGGAUGAUCCGCCACACUGGGACUGAGACACGGCCCAGACUCCUACGGGAGGCAGCAGUGGGGAAUAUUGGACAAUGGGGGGAACCCUGAUCCAGCCAUGCCGCGUGUGUGAAGAAGGCCUUAUGGUUGUAAAGCACUUUAAGCGAGGAGGAGGCUACUUUAGUUAAUACCUAGAGAUAGUGGACGUUACUCGCAGAAUAAGCACCGGCUAACUCUGUGCCAGCCGCCGCCGUAA